GACGAACGCUGGCGGCGUGCUUAACACAUGCAAGUCGAACGGAAAGGCCCUGCUUUUGUGGGGUGCUCGAGUGGCGAACGGGUGAGUAACACGUGAGUAACCUGCCCUUGACUUUGGGAUAACUUCAGGAAACUGGGGCUAAUACCGGAUCGGAGCUCCUGCUGCAUGGUGGGGGUUGGAAAGUUUCGGCGGUUGGGGAUGGACUCGCGGCUUAUCAGCUUGUUGGUGGGGUAGUGGCUUACCAAGGCUUUGACGGGUAGCCGGCCUGAGAGGGUGACCGGCCACAUGGGGACUGAGAUACGGCCCAGACGCCUACGUUAGGCAGCAGUGAGGAAUAUGGCACAAUGGGCGGAAGCCUGAUGCAGCAACGCCGCGUUCGGGAUGACGGCCUUCUGGGUGUAAACCGCUUUCGCCUGUGACGAAGCGGGAGUGACGGUAAUGGGUAAAGAAGCACCGGCUAACUACGUG
Molecule: ribosomal RNA, 468 nt
Filed under: uncultured bacterium
Lineage: Bacteria
Description: partial 16S ribosomal RNA
Rfam family: Bacterial small subunit ribosomal RNA
Source: RNAcentral